Pelobates cultripes (western spadefoot toad) is the source of this 218-nucleotide non-coding RNA. Lineage: Eukaryota; Metazoa; Chordata; Amphibia; Anura; Pelobatidae. The record is from the annotation of a GenBank genome assembly.
AGUGCUGCUACACCGGGGCCAAGGGGCCUGCAAUUUCAAAGGGCCCCCAAGUGCAUCAAAUGACUUGUGCAUACAUCCCAGCAAUCAAAUGCCUAUAAUCUAUCAAUCUAAUAUAAACACAUUCAAACACAAAACUACACCAAGUACACCACUGCAUUCACAUGCCAACACUGCUCACAAAUGCAUGCCUACUUUCAAACACUGCUCAUAAAUACAGC